UUAGUGCAAAUAAGGUCGUUUCCGGACGU
RNAcentral lists this non-coding RNA (29 nucleotides) under Bombyx mori (domestic silkworm). Lineage: Eukaryota; Metazoa; Arthropoda; Insecta; Lepidoptera; Bombycidae. The record is from RNAcentral.